RNAcentral lists this long non-coding RNA (17883 nucleotides) under Lactuca sativa (garden lettuce). RNAcentral describes it as "long non-coding RNA (LSAT_LNC006544)". Lineage: Eukaryota; Viridiplantae; Streptophyta; Magnoliopsida; Asterales; Asteraceae. The record is from RNAcentral.
CGAAACAUGGUGGUUUCAGAAACGUAGUCAUGACCGAAGCACACAACUCAAGAUAUUCCGUUCACCCAGGUUCAGAUAAAAUGUAUCUGGAUCUUAAGAAACUGUACUGGUGGCCUAACAUGAAAGCAGAAAUUGCUACCUUCGUAAGUAAAUGCCUUACUUGCGCUAAGGUUAAGGUCGAGUAUCAGAAACCGUCAGGAUUACUACGACAACCGGAGAUACCAGAAUGGAAAUGGGAGCGGAUUACUGUGGACUUCAUAACCAAGUUACCCAAGACGACAAGUGGACUCGAUACCAUAUGGGUUAUUGUCGACAGAUUGACCAAAUCCGCGCAUUUCCUACCCAUCAAGGAGACUGACAAAAUGGAAAAUCUUACAACAACUUACUUAAGGUAAGUAGUGAGACUGCAUGGUGUUCCGAUAUCCAUUAUCUCCGAUCGAGAUAGUAGAUUCACUUCAAGAUUCUGGCAGUCACUACAAAGUUCCCUGGGGACUAGGCUAGACAUGAGUACAGCCUACCACCGACAAACAGACGGGCAAAGUGAGAGAACGAUACAAACUUUAGAAGAUAUACUGAGAGCCUGUGUGAUUGACUUUGGAAAGGCAUGGGAUAUCCAUUUACCCCUUGUCGAAUUUUCAUACAACAAUAGUUAUCAUACAAGCAUAAAGGCUGCUCCGUUUGAAGCCCUCUAUGGUCGAAAGUGCAGAUCCCCUCUGUGCUGGACUGAAGUUGGCGAUACCCAAUUAGCUAGAGGAAGAGUUCCUGAAAGCACUCUCACCGGUCCGGAAAUCAUACGAGAAACGACAGAGAAGAUCGUUCAGAUUCGUGAACGAUUGAAAGCCUCUAGAGACCGACAGAAAAGCUACGCUGACCAAAGGAGGAAACCUUUGGAAUUCCAGGUAGGAGACCACGUUUUAUUAAAGGUCUCACCGUGGAAGGGUUUAAUACGCUUUGGAAAGCGUGGGAAACUAAAUCCAAGAUACAUAGGGCCUUUUGAGAUUCUUGCCAGAAUCGGCCCUGUGGCUUACAAGCUUAACCUACCGCGUGAACUUAGUAACAUAUAUCCAACCUUCCACGUCUCAAACUUGAAAAAGUGUUUGUCCGAUGAGACUCUUGUUAUUCCACUCGACGAGAUCGAGAUCAACGAGAGCCUCAACUUUGUGGAAGAACCAGUAGAAAUCAUGGACCGAGAGGUCAAACAAACAAAACAAAGUCGCAUACCCAUCGUGAAGGUUCGCUGGAACGCCAAGCGGGGACCUGAAUUCACAUGGGAACGCGAAGAUCAGAUGAAACAAAAGUACCCUCAUCUCUUUCAUGUUCACUAUUAUCUUUACUAAUUUAAAUUUCGGGACGAAAUUCCCUCUAACGGGGGGAUGAUGUGACAACCCGAUAUUUCAACUCUUUGUAAUGACCUAAAAAGUCAAGUAUUGUAGCUACUUUUGAAAUAAUGAAAUUAACUUCGAAUAUGAAAUAUGUAAAAAUAUUUAUAAGAAUAUCUAUUAUGUUAGACAUUGUGUCAAGGUUUACAUAAAUACUAAGAACACUAAAAUCCGAGUUACAACGAAGAAAUUAUGACCAUUCUGAGAUUUCCGACAAAACCGACAACACCGAUUAAACGAAAAACAUGAAGUUUCAAUGAAAUAUCAUUUAGCCUUAGGUAUCUAAAUGAAAGUUAUAGAUAACAUUAAACCGUGAGCGUACACAAAAAGAACGUCCAAAUCUGACUUCGUAUGAGGAAGUUAUGGUUUUUCCAUGAUCCGAAUAUACCAGUAGACAGCUAAAAACUCGAAAUAGAGAUCGAGAGAAUUUUGACCAAAACAACCUAAAUGAGAAUCGAAGGUCUCAACAUUAGUAGCGCAACAGCGAAAAGUCUGACGAAAACGGACAUCGGAUGAAGAAGUUAUGGAUUUUAUACGGACUUUUCGUGUCCCGGCCCGUUAAAAAUAAAUAAUUAAAAAUAAAGUCAAAAUUUGCCGAUGAAGUCUAAACGAAAGUUGUAGAUCAUAUUUUCAGCUACGCGUGCAUAUAAAGAACGUCGAAAACGGAGCUCGUACGGGAAAGUUAUGGAUUUUACAAGUUCGGGGUCCAAAAUCCGAGGCUGUCAGGCCUCCCCACGACGUGGCACUGUUUUGCCGCGACCCGGCAAGUGACUGAGGGCGUCCAAUCAAUGGAAGAGGAUAGACUUGCUCCCCACGACGUGGCCAACCCUAGCCACGACGUGGCACUCAAAAAUACCCCCUAUAAAUAGAACUCUUGGGGUGCCGGGUAUAGGUGCUCCAUUCUUCCCUCUAUCGUGCUGAAACUCUGCGGUUAAGCUCCCGAAGCCUCGGUUUUCACUCUCAAGUUCCGAAGGAAGGUUCUAAUCUCCCGAGAUUCCCAAGAUUCCCGAGAAAAGCGACUUUCACAAGCCAAAGUUCUGCUCGAUUUUCAUCUCGUUUUCCCCAAUCAAUCAAGUGAGUUUUAUACCCCUUAAUCAACCUGUUUAAAUAUUCUAAAUGCUUUUAUAUGCUCUCAAGGGGGGGAAUACAAGUAAACACAUGAGUAUUAUCGUGUGUUACAUAAACAAUUAUUUUAUGUGCUUUUAUAUAUCCAAAUCGCAUGUGAUUUAUAAACUAUAUAGGGAACUUUUAUAUAUAUAAAAUAUGUUAUAUUCCAUCUUUUGAAAUAUAAAUUGUUGUAUUGCAUGUAUAAACUAAACUUUUCUUAGAUUAUAUGUAUACUUGUCUAUCUUAGGCUCUACAAAAAUCUAUGCUUUCAUAACAAAUGAUUCCUUUUCUAGGUAUUUCUAAACAAACGAGACACACUUUUAGAAAACUAUAAUAGGUAUAGUUUUACGAACAAAUUUCUAACUCUUAUGUACUAGAAACAUGAAUUUCAAGAAGUCACUUCCGUAUACAAGAACAAAUGAAACAUUUUAACAAGUAGAUCUGUUUUUAUACUACGGUUUUGUGAGAUGCUAACUUCAUGUACGUUCGAGUACACAUUUCAAGUCCUGUAUUAUAUACCAGAAUCCCUUGGAGGGGGAGCAUGGUGUUUGUGUAUAGAUCUAUACGGGCUUGACAACCCGCGCCCUGACUGUUAGCUGCAGUCCACCGUUUGGGGUGACAAACGUCAUAACAUUCCAACGCCUGAAGAACGUUGUGUAUAGGCAUUCAGAGUCAAUAGUAUGGUUAUAAAACUCACAAGGGGUAUUAAAAAUGCAUUGAUUUACAAGGUUUUCAAACUCAUUGGUUAUUUUACAUUUACAUACAUUUUGGAAACAAACAUUGGUCUUGAGUGAAGGCUACUUUUAUACUAGUAGAAAAUAUAGGAUUUUCUAAACACAAACAAACAAAGAUAAAACAUUUCAUUUCAUUCAAACAUUGUCACUUAAAUACUUAUGAAAUUCACCAGCUUAAAUGCUGAUCUACUCUUUCAAAAUUACUUGUAUGUCCCAGGAAAUCAGUAAUUUCAGGUAUUCAUUAUGCUUUUGAUGAAGGGAUGCUGCGGCGCCAGUUUAAUCUCGUAUUUUUGACAUCAUAUUGUAAUUGGUUUUGAACAUGUAACUUUUGACAAAUGUAAACUUUCAAUUAUAUAUAUGAUGGUUGUAUUGCUUUCUUUACUAUGUAUUCAUUUGUUACGUUACCACAUGAAGUCAUCCGCCCCCGAACGUUUCCGCCGUUCAUGUUUGGGGGUGUGACAGCUGAAAAGGUAGAAAAAUCACUAUAAUUCUCAUAAUAAGUAUUAUGAAUAUACUAAAGUAACUAAAAUUUUAUUAAUUCCCAAUAUUAGUUACUUUAGGAAAAUGUGAAUAAGGUGCUAUUCCAUGAAAUUACACUUUGCACUUUGAUUAAGUCGUUAGUGGAGCGCGUGUGGUUAACCAGCACACUAACUUGGACUUAUCAAGGUAGGCAAAGGGUGACUUAAUGUUUAUCAUAGUAUCGUUGGAGCGUGUAUGGUUAACCGGCACUUUGAUUGAGGGGUAAUACAUUAAGUGUACCAAGUAAUUUGCAUGGUUACUUCACCUUGUUUUGUGAUCCUCAGCAUCCCAGUCAAAAAACUUGAAGGGCACACUCGAGAUUGAAACAUGUCAUUGAAAAGUUCAAUGAAUCUCAAAGAACCUAGGAAUUUCUAAACCAAUUAAAACAUAAUAAAAUUUAUUCCAUUUUAUGGUGGAAAUUGGUGAAUCGUCAUUCGCCUACCUUCAAAUAUUUUAUAGCUUGGAUUACGACAUCACUCUUCUAAGUUAUAAAAUAUUGUGUUGUGUCCUAGACUUAAUAUAGCAUUUGGGUGCUUUAUUAUGGACUAUCCUGAAAUCUAAUCUAAACUUAUUCCUUCAUUUUAGAUGUCUUCUAAUAACAAUGCUUCUGGCUCAAACCCUACUGGCUCUUUCUCUCUCAUGAACCUUUGUGGGAGAGUCAUCUUUGAUGGAUCCAAUUUUAUGGAUUGGAUCAGAAACAUCAGGAUGGUCAGUCGCUAUGAGAACAAAGAAUAUGUCCUUGAUAGGGAGUUGAAGGAGAUUGAUGAGUCAACUGCUACCCCAGAGGAGAUUGCUGCAUUUCAAGCACAUGAAAGGUAUGCUACCAAAGUAGCAUCUAUCAUGACUGCCACAAUGACAGCUGAGCUCCAAAAGUUCUAUGAGGACUAUUACCCUUUUGAGAUGCACGUGGACUUGAUGGAGCGAUACCAUCAAAGUGCUCGUCAAGAGAGGUAUGAAAUAAUCUCCUCCAUGAUAACCACCCAAAUGAAGGACAAUGAGUCCCUCACGACCCACAUGCAGAAAAUGCAAAGAUUUGUGGAUCGCUUGAAGAAACUGAAUGUUGACUUUCUUGAGGAGUUAGCAAUAGAUAUCAUUUUGCACUCCUUACCUUCAUGUUAUGAUCAAUUUAGAAUGACAUACCACAUGAAUAAGGAAGAAGUUACACUUAGUAAACUUCAAGGACUCUUAAAGACUGCAGAAAGUAGUCUUAAGGGUAAGUCGGGUGUUACUACUCCUCCUACUCUUACUGCGGCCAAUGUCUUGGCAAUCGGUCAUGGCAAAGGUAAGAAGAGAAAGAACCAUUCUAAGGGUACUAAGGGUAAGACCCUUGAAGGCUCCUCUUCAAACAAAACCAAGAAAGGUUUUGUCACUCCUUCUGCUAACCCUAAUGAGGUUGGAUGCUUCUAUUGCCAUGAAAAGUCGCACUGGAAGUGAAACUGCCCUAAAUACCAGCAAGAUCUUAAAGAUGGGAAAGUAAAACCCAACCAUGCAGGUAUAUACACUAUAUUGUCUAAUAACUCACCUCAUUCUAAGUCUUGGGUCCUGGAUACAGGUUGUGGAAUUCACAUAUGUUCUGAUCUGCAGAGACUAAGAAGAUGUGAGGAUUUGGAGCAAGGAAAUAUAAACCUAAUCAUGGCGAAUAGGGAAGUUUCACCUGUCACCAAGAUUGGAGUUUAUUCCUUGUUACUAGAUAGUGGGUUUACAUUAGACUUGAAUAAAUGUUGUUAUUCGCCAGAAAUGGCAAGAAAUUUUAUUUCCUUUCAUGCAUUGUAUAAACAAGGUUUCACCUUUUAUCUUGAUAAUAAAAGUGGUGGUAUUGAUGCUUUCUAUAAUAGUGUUCUUUAUUUUAAAACAUUACCUUGUGAUGGUGUGUAUGAAACUGUAUCUGUUGUAGAUAACUUACGUAAUGAAUUGUGUAUCGAUUCUUCAACUAGCUUAGAUAAAGCAUCUUUAUGGCAUUGUCGUCUUGGACAUGUAAUGUCACACCCCAAAACCGGAACGGCGGAGACGUUCUGGGGUGGAUGACGUCAUGUCAAGUAUCACAACAUAUGCAGUAUAGUAAUCAAAGUAGAACAACCAAUGCAUUAAUAGUAAUAAUUUUUACAUAGGUUACAUUUCAUAGCAACAUCAAAGUAAUAUAGAGAAUAAUAAAGAUGCAGCUGGGUACUAGGCUGACUUCACAAAAACUCCCGGGAUGUACCUGUCUAUCAAUGACCUGAGAAUACAAGUUAUUUUGAAAGCGAGUAUCAGCAUUUUUAUAAUGCUGGUGAGUUCUUAAGUAUUUAAUGACAUUAGUUAAAAUACACAGUUUUAUUCAAAAUAACCUCAUGAAAGAUGGUGGUUUAGAAUCUACAGAGAGUUAGAAUCCUUUCAAGAAAAUCCUAUAUUUUCAAAAUAAAAGCAGUCUUCUACCAAGACCCAGUUGUUUUAUAUUUAAGGAGUAAUUUUCCCAAAGUACUAUCAUUAUCUACAUAAAGUUUUUACUUUAAAGGAGUUGUGAGAAAAGCCUUAAGUAAAAUAAUAAGGGAAAAUCAUAUAUUUCCUCAGCAGAAACACUACUGUCUAAAAGAAGUAAAACCUAGACUCCAGGCGGAACACCUCGCAAAGCUUAAAGGUAAAUAGAUCAUAGACUCCAGGCGGGACGCCUUGCAAAGUCUAAAAAUAAGUAAAACAUAUACUCCAGGAGACUAUCGAAUGAAUGACACGCCAGGCUCAGUCUAACACAAGGAAGUACAGACUCCAGACAGUAUCGAAUGAACGAUACAGCUAGCAAAGUCUAAAAAAAGAAAAUACAGACUCUAGACAGUAUCGAAUGAACAAUACAGCUAGCAAAUUCUAAAACAAGGAAAUACAGACUCCAGACAGUAUCGAAUGAACGAUACAGCUAGCAAAGUCUAAAACAAGGAAAUACAGUGAUAAUUCUUGUUACCUUAAAGCCAUGAAUUAUAAGGUAAACAUAAAGAUGCUCAUAACCAUACUGAUUGACAAUCGAAUACUUGACGACCUGCAGUCGUUGGAAUGAAUGUCACAUUUGUCACCCCUUGGCUUGGUCGGACGGGACUGUAGCUAGCAGUCAGGGUGUGGGAGUGUCUGUCCCGUAUAGAUCUAUACACACAAUGCCCGCUCUCCCUCCAGGAGACUCUGGUUACCAACUUGACAAUGGGGAAAACCGUGUCCAGAGGAUGCAUCUCGUAAUUUCGAAUUCUAUUAUAAGUAUUGGAAUAAUGAUAUAGAUUCACAAAUGAACUGACUCCUUUGGAAUUCUCCGUACUGGAAAGAGUAAAUAGAAUCUCCUAACUAUUCCUAUAAUAUUUACUAAUACUUCAAGUAUAUGAUUGAUGAAUGGAAGGAUGCCCUUGCUACCCAAGGGAAAUGAACUGGUCGAUGGAAACCUUUAUGUCUAUACAUGUACACAUGAUAUAUAACUAAUAUUUAAACGACCUUCGGAUGGAUAACCGAUACCCACCAGACCACAUCUCAACAAGGAAAAGGAAAUAGGGCGAACUAGCCAUUCUAAGUCCUUUAAACAUUAUUUAUAUAACUAUACAAAUAUAGGCAUGCAUUUAACGACAUAAAAGCAUAGAAGAAAACUUUGGUAAAAUCUUUGGAAAAUCUUUUCAAAUAAGAAUUUAUGACUUGAUGUCAUUCUAUAAACAAGCUUUGAAAACCUUUGAAAAACUUUUGGAAAACCUUUCGAAUACUUUUGAUAAUCUAAACAAGAAAUUCAUACUUUAACAAGAUUUGAAAACGAGAUUGGAAGACCUUUUGUUGGAUGAAGCAGUUUAAAAUGUAAAAAUCCAUUUACUAUAUAGUUAUUAACUACAUGUGAUUUAUCUGAUAACUGUAUAGUUCAACUUGUAUUCCCCCCCCCCCAUAAAACAGUUAAAAUCAUUUAAAAGGUUUAUUUAGGGGUAUUAACUCACCUGACGUGGGCGAUUCGGAUGAACGGACGGUGUAAGAUGCUAAGCGUCAAGUGAAGACUUGAUCAUACAUGCGAAUCCUAUUUAACAAGUAAUGAUACCUUUAAGUAUCCAAUUAGUCAUUUAAUAACUAAUUAAGCAAGUAAGGAUGUCUUACUACAUGAAAACACUUUGCUAUAGGUGCUAGGAGUACCAAGGGUUGCAUAUAAGGAGAGUAUAGUCCCACUUUGGAGUUUACUCCUCCUAUGGUAAUACCUAGGGGUGUUUACGGUUUUCAUACCACUUCCCCCAUGAGUUUACAUCCGUAGACUCAUGGAAGUGAUUUCAUUGGAUGUUCAAAGGUCUUAACUCACUCAUGGAAUUAUGCUAGACUCAAAUCAAGGGCUUAGGAAGUGAUUGGGGCUUGAAAUGGACACUCUUUAGAGUUUACGGUCCUUGGACCACUCCCUUGGGAGUUUACGGUCGUAAACACAUGAUUUUACGGUCGUAAACUCAUGUUAGCCCAUUUCUUUUGUGCUUUUGUGGUUAUAGGUCAUACAUGCAAGGUUCUAGUCACUUAUACGAGCAUUGGAAGGUGUUAAGGGCACUUAAACACCCUUAAGAGGUGUUUACGGUUUUGGGAGACCUUCCUAAACCAUAAACUCAUGUUUGUCCCUUCAAUUCAUGUUCUUGGGGUCCCUAAUUCAUGCAAGUAAGGUUCUACUCCAUCACACAACCAUUAGAAGGCAUUAGGGGCAUCUAAACACCUCUAGGAGGUGUUUACGGUUUUUCGGAUGAUCUCCCCAAACCGUAAAUCCAUAAGAUCAUGGGGAAAUGAAAAUUUUCGAAUGCUAAACUCAUCUAGGAAGGGAUCUAUGCUAGUUUUCAAGGCUUAGAAUGAACCAAGGCACACUUUGGCACCCAAUUUGGAGUUUACGGUCCAAGAACACCUUGGACCGUAAACACCUUGUUCUUGGUGUUCUUCAAGGUUUUCACAUGUAUUCAAAUCAAACAACUAGCUAGGAGAAGUAUACUUACGUAUAGGAAGCUUAAAUGAUCGAUUUUGGCGGAUAUGACGGGAUGAAUUUAUGAUAGUUGGGAGAGAAUCCUUGGGUGUUCGUGAGGUGGAAGUUGGAAAAAUGAGAGAAAAUGACUAAGUGUCAUAUUUAUACUCUCGGGGGCUCGCGGUCAAAAACUCCGAGUUUUCGUCCGUAAAUUCCAAAUUUUUGAGUUCCGCGACUUACGCUAAACAUGGCAACUCUAAAUUUUACUUCUUUAUUUUUGGUUCGCUUGACGAAUAUUAUUUAAAAUAUUCCAACGGGCUUAAAUCCGGCAAAAAAUAUUUUGGGAUAAAUUUGGCUAAUUUUUGAUGUGCUUAAUUACGGUGUUAAAAUAAACGGAAAUUUCGGGUUGUCACAUCAUCCCCCCGUUAGAGGGAAUUUCGUCCCGAAAUUAGAGUUUAGGCAAGGAAGUAGGCAUGAACAAUCGAGCGAAGAGAUGAGGGUACUUCCUAUUCGGCUGAUCCUCGCGCUCCCAAGUGGACUCCGGCCUUCGCUUGGCGUUCCAGUGAACCUUCACUAACGGGAAUGCGGAUUCGGUUAGUUCGCGAUUCCUACAGGUUCCUCUACGAAGUUAGGGUUCCCAAUGAUUUUUAUCAAGAAAAGUGCAAUUUAGAGAGUUACGUCGGGCAAGCACUAUUUCAAGUAUAAGAUGUGGAUCGAUUUGGGGUGAAAAUUAUGGAAUUCCAAAAGUAGUCGUGGUUUGACAGGGGUUGGACCAAUUCUUAUAAAGAAUCUCGGAUGGCCCUAAGCUCUAGGAAAGAUAGAGCUUUUCAGUACUUAGAACAUAAUGUACUUCUACGGUGAUAUCAUCACUGACGUCAUCGCCAUUUUGAAGUUCCAAAUGUUCUCUCAUACUAGGGGUGUAGUUCUUCGAUGUGACAACCCGAUAUUUCAACUCUUUGUAAUGACCAAAAUGGGUCAAGUAUUGUAACCACUUUUGAGUAAUAAAAUUUACUUUCAUAAUAAAAUGUACAAAUAGUUCUAUUUAAUUUCCUUCUAUGUUUAAAUGUCUUUGAACCAUGAUCGUACGUGAAAAGAACGCCCAAAUCCGACUUCAUAUAGCGAAGUUAUGAUUUUUCCAAGUUCGACUUAGCAACAGACAGCUAAAAACUCGAAUCGGAGAUCGAGCGACUUUUGGCUGGAAUAACCUAAACGAGAAUCGAAGGUCUCGACAAUGGUAUUCCAGCGGUAAAAAGUCUGGCAAAAACCGACAUCAGAUAAAGAAGUUAUGAAUUUUCAAAGAAAUUCCUUAAACACGAUGAAUUUAUAAUAAGUAAUAAAAAAAUAAUUUCGGAAUUUGCCGACGGAGUCUAAACGAAAGUUGUAAAGCGUAGUCUCACCUACGCGUGGAUAUAAAGACCAUCGAAAACGGAGUUCGUAUGAAGAAGAUAUGAAUUUUUGAAGUUUAUUAAAUAAAUUAAUUAUUUAUUUAAAUCAAAAUUCGGAUAUUAUCCGAAGGGGAGUCAGCGUCCUCAUCCGAGGUACGCGCUGCGUACCCCUGUACGCCCAGCGUAACCGAGAGGAUUGGCCUCUGAUCGUCCACGUCGCGCUAUCCGAAGGAAACGACCCGUCCGACCCGUCCGAAGCCCCGACCCGUCCGACCCGACGUCCCAUCCGACCCGCGUACCCAGCAACCCGUCCCAUCCGAACCGAGGCAGUCGAGGCUUCGGUCAUGCAUGACGUACGCGUACGCGCUGCGUACGAGCGUACGCCCCGCGUACCGAGGCAGACCAGCCUUACUAUAAAUAGGAUGCGAGGGUUUCCAAAGAAAGGGUUCAUUUCUCUUCUCUCUCUCUCAACUUUGCCUCGUUUUCCGUGUCCGUUCAAACCCGAAGCUCUGGUCUUUUUGGCUCAAGUCCCGAAGGUCGAUUUUACUCCCGAGAUUCCCGAGAAUCCCGAGGAAAAUCCGUUUCCCGAGACGAAACUCUGCCCGGUUUUCCAUCUCGCUAUCUUCAAACUUUCAAGUGAGUUUCAUACCCCUUAAUCAACCUUUUUAAUUAUUCUAAAUACUUUUAUAUGCUUUCAAGGGGGGAUUACAAGUAAAACACACGAGUAUUAUCGUGUGUUACAUAAAGAAACUCUUUUAUAUACUGUUAUAUAUUCAAAUCACAUGCGAUUUAUAAACCUUUAAAGGAACUUUUAUAUAUAUAUAACAUAUGUCACAAUAGCAUUUUACCUUUUAAAAUAUAAUGUUGUUGUAAUGCAUGUAUAAACUAAACUGUUCUUAGAUUUUUCUUGUCUAUCCUAGACUCUACACCAAAAAUCUAUACUUUCAUAAACAAGUGAUUCCUUUUCUCAAUAUUUCUAAACAAACAAGACACGCUUUUUGGAAACUAUAAUAGGUAUAGUUUUACGAACAGAUUUCUAACUCUUAUGUACUAGAAACACAUAUUUCAAGAAGUUUACUUUCGUAUACAAGAACAAACGUAACAUUUUAACAAGUAGAUCUGUUUUUAUACCACGGAUUUGUGAGACACUAACUUCAUGUACGUUCGAGUACACAUUUCAAGUCCUGUAUUAUAUACCAGAAUCCCUUGGAGGGGGAGCAUGGUGUUUGUGUAUAGAUCUAUACGGGCUUGACAACCCGCGCCCUGACUGUUAGCUGCAGUCCACCGUUUGGGGUGACAAACGUCAUAACAUUCCAACGCCUGAAGAACGUUGUGUAUAGGCAUUCAGAGUCAAUAGUAUGGUUAUAAAACUCACAAGGGGUAUUAAAAAUGCAUUGAUUUACAAGGUUUUCAAACUCAUUGGUUAUUUUACAUUUACAUACAUUUUGGAAACAAACAUUGGUCUUGAGUGAAGGCUACUUUUAUACUAGUAGAAAAUAUAGGAUUUUCUAAACACAAACAAACAAAGAUAAAACAUUUCAUUUCAUUCAAACAUUGUCACUUAAAUACUUAUGAAAUUCACCAGCUUAAAUGCUGAUCUACUCUUUCAAAAUUACUUGUAUGUCCCAGGAAAUCAGUAAUUUCAGGUAUUCAUUUCGCUUUUGAUGAAGGGAUGCUGCGGCGCCAGUUUAAUCUCGUAUUUUGACAUCAUAUUGUAAUUGAGUUUUGAACAUGUAACUUUUGACAAAUGUAAACUUUCAAUUAUAUAUAUGAUGGUUGUAUUGCUUUCUUUACUAUGUAUUCAUUUGUUACGUUACCACAUGAAGUCAUCCGCCCCCGAACGUUUCCGCCGUUCAGGUUUGGGGGUGUGACAGAUUGGUAUCAGAGCAAUGUUUAUAGUGAACUAAGUAUAUCGAACCACAUAAGAUAUACAAACUAUAAAUGCUUAAGGGACUAAUACUCUCUGACAAAACAAAUUUUCUUUUUACACUUAAGCAGCAUUUCGUUCAACUUAAAUUGAUAGUUCAUUUAAGUACAAUUACAUGCAUACCACAAACUAUUUUCAUGUUAUACAACUAUACAAGUAUUUAGACAAGUUGACACUACGAUUGAGACUCGAUAUAUGUAAUCAGAUUUUGGACAAAUAUAGCGUGAUCAACUAUAUUUGCCCAAGAUUGGACCAACGUAUAUCGAGGAAUGAUCGUAGUAAGCAACAAGUCAAAACUUACCAAACCAUUACAAGAAUCAAACACAAGAAUUUAAAUACUAUAGGAGUAUUUGCUAUCUAAACUAGUUUAACUUACAUGUUUUACAUGUUCCGACUUUAUUCAAUUCUUAUAACCCUAUUUCUCGUACAGUCAAAUGGCUGGAUUUCACCACCCUGGCGACCCCUACUUUCCCAACCAAGGCAACGGAGGAUGGAUCGAAGAUGAUCCCGAAGAGGACGAGGAACCCAUAGAAGUGGGUGAUGACUCCGGUACCGACUCAGAGCCGGAAGUUAUCGAUCCACCACCCAUUCAACCUCCCGUCUUCGUAAGGAACUUUCAAGGACCGACUCCCGUCUGGGGAAGUCACCUCCACCAUUGGAGCCAACAGCAAAACCUACGCCCUCCCUACGGCAUGUGCCGGGACUUCUAUGAUGUCCGCGGCGGAGGUUCGGCUGAUCGAGCACUCCCGGUAAUGGUGGGUAAGUUAGCCAAUCAGUCCUAUCAGUCUGGAGUACAAGCUAGUCGACUCCGGGAUAUCAACGUGGAAGUGCAGGUUCACACUUCUGACAUCCGUAGGCUGGACAAGAUGCAAGACAACGCUCAAUUCCAAACCGAAGCGUUUCAAGCGCAAAUGAUUGCAGCCCUCGCCGAACUAAGGGAACAACAAGCCGCUUUCGAUAGGCGUCUAAUGGAGUCAAAGCAAUCAGAUACGGAGUCAAGCUCCAAGCGCAACCUUCGACGCAAGUAGUGCUUGUCAAGGACUCAAAUUUUGUUAUAGCUUAGGACCUCGGCUAAAAGUCUUUAAAUUUCUCGAACUUUGUAAUCGGAGACCCUUAUAGGGGUCAAAUUUUCAUGAUCGUUGUAACAACUUUUAUAUUAAUAUAAGUGGCACUAUUACUACUAUGUUGAGUAUUUCGUUCGAACCUUGAAUGGUCUUUGUGAACCCAAAUACUUGUUUCAUACCUUCAGUCUUACAAAUAACUUUCAUUCUUCUAUUUUAAGACUCAUACUAUCAUCUGUUGUUGAACUAUAGCGAUUUAGUUCAUGAGACACAUACAUUUUCCAUUCUAUGAAAUUCUUAUCCUUGUCUUUUCAAUCUAUAGUUGAAGGAUGCCUCCGCGUAGGAAUCCAAGGCGAAACAACGGUGAGGAAGCACCUAUACCACCACCACCUCCACCACCCCAAUUUGAUGCUGUAAUGUUUCAAGCAGCAGUCACCGCAGCGGUGGCAGCUGCCAUGUCACAGAUCAAUAACUCGAGUACUAAUGGCUCGGGAUCUGGCACACACCUAUCCAACCAUGGCGAGAGUCAUGGACCACCUCGAGAAUGCACCUAUAAGGACUUCACUAAUGCCAAGCCCCGGAUGUUUUAUGGUACUGGUGGUGUGAUGGCCCUGAGGCAGUGGAUUGAAAGGACGGAGGCAGUCUUUGAAAUCUGCUCCUGCCCCGAGCACAGCAAGGUCAAAUUUGCAACUUUCACCCUUCUCGAUAAAGCUUUAACUUGGUGGAAUGGCCACGUUAAAGUACUUACCCUAAUCGUGGCAAACUCCAUAAGCUGGGAGAGCUUGAAGGCCAUGAUGAUGAGAGAAUACUGCCCACGGGGAGAAAUUCAAAAGCUUGAACACGAGCUAUGGACUCUCGGAAUGGUGGGUACCGACAUCGCUACUUAUACCAACAGAUUCUGCGAACUGGCAAUCCUUUGUCCAGAUAUGAUUGCUCCCGAGAGCAAGAAGAUAGAAAGGUACAUCUGGGGACUGACGCCCCAAAUGCGAUCAAGCGUGUUAGCUUCUAAACCUGACACCUUUGAAAGUGCUAAGGAACUGGCACAAUCUCUGAUCGACUACGGAGGUCAUCAGAACUCAACCACUUCUGCACCAGCACCACAGAAAGGAAACAACAACAACAACAACAACAACAACAACAACAACAAUGGCAGGAAGAGAGCGUGGAUUAAAGGGAAGGGUGGGUCUUCCCAAGAAUCCGCAAAGAAACAACUGGUGUCAGUAAAUGCUGCCAUUGUACCUGCUACAGCCCCUACAAAUACCUACCCAACAAAGCCUUAUAUAGGCAACCUCCCAAAAUGCACCAAAUGCAAUUACCACCACCAUGGACCUUGUCGAGAUAUGCAGUGCGCCAACUGCAGCAGGAAAGGACACACAGCCCGUUUCUGCAAGGAACCCGCAAAGCCGAUCACUCAAGUUCCCGGUGCGGGUGUAGGGCAGGCUUGCUACGGUUGUGGCGAGGUGGGCCACUACAAGAGAAACUGUCCUAAGGCAGCAGGCACCGGAGGUGUGGGACGAGUUUUGGCAAUAGGCCACGACGAAGCUGUAGCUGACCCAACUAUAGUUGCUGGUACGUUCCUUCUCGAUAAUUCAUACGCAUGCAUAUUAUUCGAUAGUGGAGCGGAGAGAAGCUUCGUGAGUCAAAACUUUAUUCAUUUACUUAAACCUAAACCUAGCAAGUUAGAAAAAUCAUUCACUGUAGAGAUGGCCAAUGGAAAAACCGAAAACACAAAUUGCAUAUACAUGGGCUGUACGUUAACAUUAGACGGCCAUUCUUUCCCAAUCAAUCUCAUGCCGGUUCAAAUUAAAAGUUUCGACGUCAUAGUCGGCAUGGAUUGGUUGAGUCUUCUUCGCGCCGACAUCAUGUGCUUUGAGAAAGCAGUCCGUCUUAACCUCCCUAACAACGAAACAUUAGUUAUCUACGGCGACAAAUCUAGUGCAAACCUUCGCAUCAUUUCGUGCAUCCAAGCUCGAAAGUGCUUGCGGAAGGAUUGUCGAGCAUUCCUAGCGCACAUCGUCGAUACAAGUCAAGAACUGAAGGACAUCAAGAGCAUCUCGGUAGUACGCGACUUUCCCGAUAUCUUUCCAGAAGAACUACCAGGAUUACCACCGCAACGCCAAGUCGAGUUCAGAAUCGACUUAAUUCCAGGAGCUACCCCAGUAGCGAAGUCGCCUUAUCGUCUUGCACCAGCAGAGAUGCAGGAACUUUCCAGUCAACUUAAUGAACUCCUUCACAAAGGAUUCAUAAGACCAAGUUUCUCACCUUGGGGAGCACCGGUCUUGUUUGUAAAGAAGAAAGACGGAUCGUUCCGUAUGUGCAUCGACUACAGAGAGCUGAACAAACUUACUGUCAAGAACCGCUAUCCUCUACCCCGUAUCGACGACCUAUUCGAUCAACUUCAAGGGGCGAACUACUUCUCCAAAAUAGACCUGCGAUCCGGAUAUCACCAAUUACGAGUUCUAGAGGGGGACAUUCCAAAGACAGCCUUCCGAACUCGUUAUGGACACUACGAAUUCGUGGUGAUGCCGUUCGGAUUAACCAAUGCACCAGCAGUAUUUAUGGACCUAAUGAAUAGGGUAUGCCGCCCUUACUUGGAUCAGUUCGUCAUCGUCUUUAUCGAUGAUAUACUUAUCUACUCUCGAAGUGAGGAAGAGCAUAGUCAACACCUACGAAAAGUCCUAGAAACACUGCGAACGGAGAAACUCUAUGCGAAGUUCUCUAAAUGCGAAUUUUGGAUUCGAAGAGUCGAAUUUUUAGGUCACGUUGUUAGCGAGAAAGGUAUACACGUGGACCCCUCCAAAAUUAAGGCUAUUGAGAACUGGUCGGCACCAAAGACACCUACAGAAAUUCGUCAAUUUCUAGGUCUAGCUGGCUACUAUCGCAGAUUCAUAAAGAACUUUUCGAGCAUUGCGAAACCUCUUACUUCAUUAACCCAGAAAGGUGUGGCCUUUGACUGGGAAGCGAAACAAGAGAAGGCAUUCCAGACACUAAAGCAGGCCUUGUGCACCGCACCGAUACUAUCCCUCCCCGAAGGGAUAGAAGACUUCGUAGUGUAUUGCGAUGCUUCAAAUCAAGGACUUGGUUGUGUUCUUAUGCAGAGAGGGAAGGUUAUCGCUUAUGCCUCCCGACAGCUUAAGACACACGAAGUGAACUAUACGACACACGACCUCGAGUUAGGAGCAGUGGUAUUUGCUCUGAAGAUCUGGAGGCACUACUUAUACGGAACAAAGAGUACUAUAUUCACCGAUCACAAGAGCCUUCAACACAUUUUCGAUCAGAAGGAACUCAACAUGCGACAACGACGAUGGGUUGAGUUACUGAAUGACUACGAAUGCGAAAUUCGUUAUCAUCCUGGCAAGGCCAACGUAGUAGCCGACGCCCUCAGUCGAAAGGAAUACACUGGUCGGAGGGUCAAAUCUCUGACCAUGACUAUCCAUUCCCACUUAUCCACACAAAUUAAGGAAGCACAAAUGGAAGCUUUGCAACCUGAAAAUGUGGCGGGUGAAUCCCUGCGAGGAAUGGAGAAGAAUUUAGAAGUCAAGGGUGGCGGAGCCUACUAUCUCAUGGACCGAAUCUGGACCCCAAAUCAUGGUGGUUUCAGAAACGUAGUCAUGACCGAGGCUCACAACUCAAGAUAUUCCGUUCACCCGGGUUCAGAUAAAAUGUAUCUGGAUCUUAAGAAACUGUACUGGUGGCCUAACAUGAAAGCAGAAAUUGCUACCUUCGUGAGUAAAUGUCUUACUUGCGCUAAGGUUAAGGUCGAGUAUCAGAAACCGUCAGGACUACUACAACAACCAGAGAUACCGGAAUGGAAAUGGGAGCGGAUUACUAUGGACUUCAUAACCAAGUUACCCAAGACGACAAGUGGACUCGAUACCAUAUGGGUCAUUGUCGACAGAUUGACCAAAUCCGCACAUUUCCUACCCAUCAAGGAGACUGACAAAAUGGAGAAGCUUACAAGAACUUACUUAAGGGAAGUAGUGCGACUGCAUGGUGUUCCGAUAUCCAUUAUCUCCGAUCGAGAUAGUAGAUUCACUUCAAGAUUCUGGCAGUCACUACAAAGUUCCCUGGGAACUAGGCUAGACAUGAGUACAGCCUACCACCCACAGACAGACGGACAAAGUGAGAGAACAAUACAAACUUUAGAAGACAUGCUGAGAGCCUGCGUGAUUGACUUUGGAAAGGCAUGGGAUAUUCAUUUACCCCUUGUCGAAUUUUCAUACAACAAUAGUUAUCAUACAAGCAUAAAGGCUGCUCCGUUUGAAGCCCUCUAUGGUCGAAAGUGCAGAUCCCCUCUGUGCUGGACUGAAGUUGGCGAUACCCAGUUAGCUAGAGGAAGAGUUCCUGAAAGCACUCUCACCGGUCCGGAAAUCAUACGAGAAACGACAGAGAAGAUCGUUCAGAUUCGUGAACGAUUGAAAGCCUCAAGAGACCGACAGAAAAGCUACGCUGACCAAAGGAGGAAACCUUUGGAAUUCCAGGUAGGAGACCACGUCUUAUUAAAGGUCUCACCGUGGAAGGGUUUAAUACGAUUUGGAAAGCGUGGGAAACUAAAUCCAAGAUACAUAGGGCCUUUCGAGAUUCUUGCCAGAAUCGGCCCUGUGGCUUACAAGCUUAACCUACCGCGCGAACUUAGUAACAUCCAUCCAACCUUCCACGUCUCAAACUUGAAAAAGUGUCUGUCCGACGAGACUCUUGUUAUUCCACUCGACGAGAUCGAGAUCAACGAGAGCCUCAACUUUGUGGAAGAACCAGUAGAAAUCAUGGACCGAGAGGUCAAACAAACAAAACAAAGUCGCAUACCCAUCGUGAAGGUUCGCUGGAACGCCAAGCGGGGACCUGAAUUCACAUGGGAACGCGAAGAUCAG